GAUGAACGCUGGCGGCGUGCCUAAUACAUGCAAGUCGAGCGAACAGACGAGGAGCUUGCUCCUCUGACGUUAGCGGCGGACGGGUGAGUAACACGUGGAUAACCUACCUAUAAGACUGGGAUAAAUUCGGGAAACCGGAGCUAAUACCGGAUAAUAUAUUGAACCGCAUGGUUCAAUAGUGAAAGACGGUUUUGCUGUCACUUAUAGAUGGAUCCGCGCCGCAUUGGCUAGUUGGUCAGGUAACGGCUUACCAAGGCAACGAUGCGUAGCCGACCUGAGAGGGUGAUCGGCCACACUGGAACGGGAACACGGUCCAGACUCCUACGGGAGGCAGCAGUAGGGAAUCUUCCGCAAUGGGCGAAAGCCUGACGGAGCAACGCCGCGUGAGUGAUGAAGGUCUUCGGAUCGUAAAACUCUGUUAUUAGGGAAGAACAAAUGUGUAAGUAACUAUGCACGUCUUGACGGUACCUAAUCAGAAAGCCACGGCUAACUACGUG
This 497-nucleotide ribosomal RNA is filed under the name uncultured bacterium. RNAcentral describes it as "partial 16S ribosomal RNA". It matches the Rfam family "Bacterial small subunit ribosomal RNA", at positions 28 to 507 of the family's 1533-position model. The record is from RNAcentral.